RNAcentral lists this ribosomal RNA (117 nucleotides) under Acanthosepion pharaonis. The record is from RNAcentral. Lineage: Eukaryota; Metazoa; Mollusca; Cephalopoda; Sepiida; Sepiidae.
UUGUGGUCAUAUCAUAUUGAAACACCAGUUCUCAUUGCAUGAUCACCAAAGUUAAACAAUGUCAAGCCUGGUCAGUACCUAGAUGGGUGACUGCUUGGGAAUACCAGGUGUUGUAAG